Molecule: long non-coding RNA, 1816 nt
Organism: Camellia sinensis
Lineage: Eukaryota; Viridiplantae; Streptophyta; Magnoliopsida; Ericales; Theaceae
Source: RefSeq, a predicted model, not a curated record
CUUCUUCUCUCUCUCUCCUUUUCAGCGGAAGUGAAGUCACACAACACAACUUCCAAAACAUGAGAGAACAGAACCAGACCUGUUCUUCUCUCUAAAAUCGAGUUCAACAAUCCCGAAUCUCGCACUAACAAGAACACAAGGUACUAGAUAAUGGAUCCACCUCUCAGUGAUGCUCCUCCUGUUGAUGCAAAUAUUGUUGCUCCUGUUGUUGAAACUCGACCACAACCAUCAACUGAGCCCAUGCCCAACCCAUCUGAUCCGACCACAACUGAUCCGAUUAAACGAGUAUGCUGUGCGGUCGAUUUCGACUGUUUUGUGGUUCAAAAAUGGUUCCAAUAAACUCAAACCGAUCAUAUUCGGAUGAAUAACGGUUUAUGGAUGAAUCCGACCCGUGCACACCCUUAAUUGAGUUUAUUAUUAUUCCUAAUAAAUUCGAUGUGGUCAAUGGAGUGAUGACAACAUUGAACUUUUUGAUUUUCUCAUCAUUCAUUCAAAACAAUCAAUUUGAAUGGUUGUAAGUGCAAGAAUCCAUAUUCCUUAUACUUCAACAUUAUAAAACUCGAGGUCGAGUUUUUUCGAAUGCAGGGAAGAAUGAUGAAAAUCAUGGAAAGAAGAAAAAGAGCAAAUCUGAAAUUUCAUAUGAAGUACAUUUAGGAUAUCAAGAUUUAAAAAUUUGGAAUUAUUUUGAGUCUUCAUGUCAUUGUAGUAGGUUUUAAUAGUUAAGGAUAUUAUGGUAAUUUCAGUUUUGUUGGACAUGGGCUGUAAGGUUGCCCAUGCGUUUUAUUUUGGGUUAAAUUAUUAAAUGGGUUAUUACAUAUGAGUUUUAUUAUGUGUAAAAUAAUCUUAGUGGUCAAAAAUUCAAGUUUCCUAUUUUGAUAUUGAAGUAAAAUUAGAAGUCAUUAAAGUUUCCUAUUAUGAUUGAAGUAGAAUUGGAAGUCAUAGUUGGUCUAAAACAUUAGUAGUUGCUAUAUAUUUUUAAUUUCUAAAUUUGAGUUAUAGUCCUUAUAGAAUUAGGAGAGCCUUUAGCCUUUAAAUAAAUGUGUAAUCUCAAUGAUUCGGGCAAAGUUGAUAUUUUGAAAAUUUGAGAUUGUAUUUGUGUGAUUGGCCUAUCCCUUGUGAGGGUGAAACACUUCUCUCUUUCUCUUUCUUCUUCUUCUUCUAUCCAGCAAGGUUACUGUUCACGUCACUAUUCACAGUACUUACAACAACCACCCAACUACCCUUAAACACUUGUGUUUUCAUUCCUAAAACCCAAGCCUUUUACAAACCCUUGAACUCCCAUUUUUUAAAUACAUUUGCAGUCAUAAAAUCUCACCAAAUCCAAUCCUACAAGUCUAUUGUUGCUGCUACCAGUAUACUUAACCCGGGCUCACUACUUGUGGGAAAGUAAUCCCUACUCGUCCUACAUCAAUUGGUUAUUUUCGUACUAAACACUAUUACAAGUUGUAUUAUGUCAUUCUAAUUAAAAAAAGAGAGAAAAAAAGAAUCGAAAUAUGUCGGAUAUGAUAGUUUCAAGAAUUGCAUGAAUCGUAAAAAGUGAAUCGAAUCGUGAAUCGAUUGUGAAUCGUGCGAUUCACUAGAGAUCACUUCCAAAAUAGAUUCACCAUAGAUUCGUAUCUAUUUUGCGAAAAUUGCAAAUCAAAUCGUGAAUUGUAAGAUUCUGAUAACAAAGUUCACCAUAUACAUACAAGACUAGGUGGAAUUUAGUAAUUGUUUUUUUUAGCAACUAAUGUUCUACUAGAUUAGAGGAACUUAAAAAUUUUAUUAAAAAAAAAAAAAACCCAAAAAAAAAGAUUGGUUAAAAAUCUCAUCUUUA